Molecule: ribosomal RNA, 501 nt
Filed under: uncultured bacterium
Lineage: Bacteria
Description: SSU rRNA
Rfam family: Bacterial small subunit ribosomal RNA
Source: RNAcentral
AGAUUGAACGCUGGCGGCGUGCUUAACACAUGCAAGUCGAGCGGUAACGCGGGAGCAAUCCUGGCGACGAGCGGCGAACGGGUGAGUAAUGCUUGGGAAUCUGCCCAUUAGUGGGGAACAACCAGCCGAAAGGUUGGCUAAUACCGCAUACGCCCUACGGGGGAAAGCGGGGGGAUCGAAAGACCUCGCGCUAAUGGAUGAGCCCAAGUCGGAUUAGCUUGUUGGUAGGGUAACGGCCUACCAAGGCGACAAUCCGUAGCUGGUCUGAGAGGACGACCAGCCACACUGGGACUGAGACACGGCCCAGACUCCUACGGGAGGCAGCAGUGGGGGAAUAUUGGACAAUGGGGGGCAACCCUGAUCCAGCGACGCCGCGUGUGUGAAGAAGGCCUGCGGGUUGUAAAGCACUUUUAGUGGGGAUGAAAAGCUCAGGGUUAACACCGUCUGGGUCUUGACCUAACCCACAGAAAAAGCACCGGCUAACUCUGUGCCAGCAGCCGC